This 510-nucleotide ribosomal RNA is filed under the name uncultured bacterium. RNAcentral's name for it is "partial 16S ribosomal RNA". It matches the Rfam family "Bacterial small subunit ribosomal RNA", at positions 28 to 507 of the family's 1533-position model. The record is from RNAcentral.
GACGAACGCUGGCGGCGUGCUUAACACAUGCAAGUCGAACGAAGAGCGAUGGAAGCUUGCUUCUAUCAAUCUUAGUGGCGAACGGGUGAGUAACGCGUAAUCAACCUGCCCUUCAGAGGGGGACAACAGUUGGAAACGACUGCUAAUACCGCAUACGAUCUAAUCUCGGCAUCGAGGAUAGAUGAAAGGUGGCCUCUACAUGUAAGCUAUCACUGAAGGAGGGGAUUGCGUCUGAUUAGCUAGUUGGAGGGGUAACGGCCCACCAAGGCGAUGAUCAGUAGCCGGUCUGAGAGGAUGAACGGCCACAUUGGGACUGAGACACGGCCCAGACUCCUACGGGAGACAGCAGUGGGGAAUCUUCCGCAAUGGACGAAAGUCUGACGGAGCAACGCCGCGUGAGUGAUGACGGCCUUCGGGUUGUAAAGCUCGGUUAAUCGGGACGAAAGGCCUUCUUGCGAAUAGUGAGAAGGAUUGACGGUACCGGAAGAGAAAGCCACGGCUAACUACGUG